AACGAACGCUGGCGGCAGGCUUAACACAUGCAAAUCGAGCGCCCCGCAAGGGGAGCGGCAGACGGGUGAGUAACGCGUGGGAAUCUACCCAUCCCUACGGAAUAGCUCCGGGAAACUGGAAUUAAUACCGUAUACGCCCUACGGGGGAAAGAUUUAUCGGGGAUGGAUGAGCCCGCGUUGGAUUAGCUAGUUGGUGGGGUAAAGGCCUACCAAGGCGACGAUCCAUAGCCGGUCUGAGAGGAUGAUCAGCCACAUUGGGACUGAGACACGGCCCAAACUCCUACGGGAGGCAGCAGUGGGGAAUAUUGGACAAUGGGGGCAACCCUGAUCCAGCCAUGCCGCGUGAGUGAUGAAGGCCUUAGGGUUGUAAAGCUCUUUCACCGGGGAAGAUAAUGACGGUACCCGGAGAAGAAGCCCCGGCUAGCUUCGUGCCAGCCGCCGCAGUAA
This 447-nucleotide ribosomal RNA is filed under the name uncultured bacterium. Its description in RNAcentral is "partial 16S ribosomal RNA". It matches the Rfam family "Bacterial small subunit ribosomal RNA", at positions 29 to 523 of the family's 1533-position model. The record is from RNAcentral.